Long non-coding RNA from Gallus gallus (chicken), 6309 nucleotides. RefSeq lists it as uncharacterized. NCBI's taxonomy places the organism in Eukaryota, Metazoa, Chordata, Aves, Galliformes, Phasianidae. The transcript has 2 exons. The record is from RefSeq and is a predicted model, not a curated record.
GGUGGAGUCACUCACUGCGCGGCGCCGGAGGGGCAGCAGCCGCCGGGGCUGUUGCCAUGUCGGCGGCGUUCCCUCGCUCCGCCCGCGGCUCGGGGGGGCCGGCAGGUCCCGGCAGCUGGAGCGAGACAGAAACGAAGGGGAGAACGCAUGAGUGAGGGGAGGAGGAACGGGACGAAGCGCGACCUCAGCAGGGCAGCCGCCGGCGGUACGACCCCCGACCCUAAAGGGGAGGGGGGAAAGCACGAGUGCGCAUGCGCGGUGUCGCGCUCUACGCCGUGUGCGCAUGCGCGAUGGGCGUUGUGCUCACCCGCCCGCCCGCUGAGGAGCGUGUGGGUCGGGAGGUCUUCAGGCGUUGUGCCCGUUCCGUUCUGUCCCAGGUGUCGUCGCUAGUCUGUCAGCCCAGCUAAGGAGCUUCCCUGUGCUUGCCCCACUGAUGCCUUUAGUAGGCCACAACCCCGGAACUCAGUGAAGUUAGCAAACACAGCCAUGCGUUUGUCUGCUUACAGCCCUAAGGCAUCUUCCUUUACGGCUUACCUCCUCACACCAGUUGCUUCUGCCCAUGGAGGAGAGUUUUGUCCCUCCUGCCAUACUGAUGGAGUUCUGAGCUCAAACAUGAUCGCUUCUAAAGUAGUUCUACAGAUGAGAAAGCGGGACAACUAUUCUAACCUACUUGAGGCUAAAUAAGUUUAACUAGUGGUUGGAAGAUCAUGUAACCAACUAACAUACAUAUUUUUAACUAGUUCUAUUUUAUAUUGAUGCAGUUCACAUCAUUGUGGUAUCUCAUAGCAGUGUGUUUGUGCAGCAAUAAAGAAUAACUGCAAACCUGCAUUAGCUACAAUAGUACUGAUUGUAUGGAUCUGUGGAUUACAAGAGCCUAACAGACACUGCUGAGUUAUUAAUUACUCUUUUCUUAUGUAUACAAAUAAGUGCCUAUCGCUCAGUGAAAGCUCAUACAAUCAUUCGGGCUGGAAGGGACCUUGAAAAGCUAUCUAGUCCAAGUGAAUGGGGACACCUACAGUGUUUGAAACCAUUUUCCCUUGUACUACCACAGCAUGCCUUUACUCAGUGCUACUAUUGCUUCACCUCAGCUCCAUUUGUUCCCCACAGAAAGCUUGUACCAACAACACUGAUCUACCACCCAACAGCAUAAUUUAGUCUGUACUUUAAAAAUCCUGUGGAAUAACUCACAGGAAUAAAACACAGGAAGCUUUUCCACACCCUGCUGCACUUGCUUUAGUAAGAGUGCUGAGGCCUGCACAAAUUAUCCUAUCUUACCAUCCAUUCUUUGUAUUGGAUAUGUAAGCUCAUGCAUACUUUCCUCAAAGACUGCAUCCAACCCAGGCAGGGACUCUGUAACUUGGAAAAUGCAUAGUAUAGAGACAGAACAGGCAGAGGAGAAGGACUGUGUUAUCUUCCACCUAGGCGUAGUCCCUACUCUCCCCAAAGGAUUUUCAGGUUGCUAAACAGCGCCUUCAGAUUGCACAGGGAACUGAACUUGCCCUAAGAAAGUGGUUUUGUUAGGUAAGUGGGACGCUCCCAAACCACCUCUGCCUUCACCUUAGCACCAUUUACCCCAGCACCUUGCACAAGUGCUAAGCAUGAUGUCUAAGCAUGAUGUGCCUGCGAACUGCAGUGUUUCCUGGCUGCGUGCAGACCUAUUUAAUCAGAUAACAGCUUUGUGGCACAAAAAUUAUAACACCGCAAGAAGCUGCAGCAUUUGUGUUGCUCAGCUCAUAAACUUCUUUUUCAUAUCAAACUUUUAUGUAUCACAUUUAAACAGUCUCCUAAAGGCACAUGAAAAUGGAGAAUGCUGGCAACAAACCAGAAGGGCCUUAUGGCCACUUUCUUUAACAAUUCUUUAUCAUUUCUUGAAAUUAAGUAUGAGAGCAGGCACUAAAAAAGAAGUAGUAAACAACUGAAAGCAAGUACACUAAAGCUCUCCAUUAGCUCAGAGGCUGUCUGUUUCCAAAGCAGUAAAACCCCAAAACAAACACAAGUUUCUCUAACUCCUCUUCACAAAAUGAGUUACAUCAGAGAUAUGUGGAAUGCCACGCUGAGGGUUUUGGAUUCCUCAAUCUGUCUCACCCAUGAAAACAUGCAGAGCACUGUGAUAUUUAGACAGGUCUGAAGGAAAAUAGCUGUUUCCUACCUGGGUUUUCUGAUGCAGCAGCUGUGGGACUGCCGGCAGCCAAGCACAGCAGCCUCCCCUAGCAACAGGCUGCUCUGCUUUUUAAAGAGAAAGGCUCAGAUUCUGCUCCUUCCGCCACUAAAGCCAUUCUGGAAGACUUAUUUUAUUUUGUAGACAAUUUAUUUUACAGUAAGAGGGAAAGAGAAAGCUAUAAGAAAAUACAGGGAAGAUGAAGAAGUGAUUGCAGCUCCUGCCGACAGCACCUUAUCCCAAUCUUUGCAUACUUGGAGUGGCAGAAAUCUGUCAGUGCUAUCAGACAGCUUGUAGAAAUGUGGAUUGUCUUACAUAUGGUUCCUAAUUCUUAGAGGUACAAAGCAAUUAAUAGUAUUCCUAAAAAAUCUGGAACAAUCUUUUCUGCUGAGCCGGGUUGUUAAGAAGUAAUUCCUUACAAUAACAUUUGCAUCAGUAUCUUUAUAACAACCGGAAUAAACAACACUGUGGGUACUGAAUGGAGUUGUUACUAGACCCGUUUAUAGUUGUGCCUGUACAAUCAGCCCCUGUAACUUCUGAAGGUCUGUUACUGCAAAGCUUUAGUAGCUGGAAUCACAUGAAAAGAGAUGGCUGAAUUGUUUCCUGUUUCUGAACGCUGUUGUAAAAAGUCGUGGGAAGAAGUAAACAGUCACAGGAGACAAAAAAACAGCAGUAUGGACAUUUAGUUAAAUUACGCUGAACUGUCACAGCUAGAAAGAGCUGGCGUGACAAUGUUUUUCAAGAAUGGAAAUGUCAGGUUUUUGAAGGUGAUGUGUCCAGUACACAAUUUCUGACAUCUACUAAGUCUCACUGUAUCUGAGCCUAUGGAAGUCAUCCAGUGGGUGAACCUUCGUACAGGCUUUUGGCAACGAUUCAGGUUAAACAUCUUGUUUUGCUAAUAAGCCUGUGUCCCAGCUAUCUAUUCCAGUCUCAGAAACAGUUGUGCAAACAGUUUAAAUGAUGCACAAAUAUGAACAGCAUUAUGUAAGGAACAUUAAUGUAGUACCCUGAAGGAACAGUGGGAACCUUUGCUUACCAGGAUGAAAAGCUACUUAAAAACAUAUGUCAGGAUGGACACGACUCCACUCCCAGAAAUAAGACUGAGUUUAAGCCAUAUGUGGUUCCUGGAGGAGAGAAAAACACAUUUAUCUCGGUUAGCGUCGUAAAAAGAAGGAAGCCCAGUGUCUUUGAUUGCACUGUGCAGCAGAUGCAGUGCUCCAAGUGAGAUAAUGUGAGAAGCUUCGCUUUGUUAGGUGCAGCACUGUCACUGAUGUUUUGCCAAGGAAAGCCAAGCACGGCCUUUGGAGCAGACAGAACCUGUGGGAGCUUGUAGAGAGCUGCUGCUCAGGGAGAGGUUGUGCUGGCUGCCCCAGUGAGGCAGGCCACAGGGUGAUCUUACAAAAUAAGACUAUAUGCUGCUGUAUUAUUAAAAUAGCGGUUUGGGCUACUAUAGGCAGCUCUGCAGUCAUCUCAACUUCAGAGAGGUUACAAAGAAAGGAGAACAAACUCUGUUCAGCGUGAUUGUUUUAAACUGAUUGCACCUCACUCCAGCAUGACCGAAUUCACAAAUAAAAUUCCUUGAAAUUUGUCACACGUGGAGGAAAAAUCAGUGUUCACUUCUCAGACCAUGUGCCAGAAGAUGCAGGUGGUGUGGAAAGGAGGAAAGCCUGCUGCUUUGGCGGCAGCAGCAGCGGUAGACAAGUUUUCAGAUGAUUAAAGAGGUUGUUUUUCAACUCAAAGUUUAAAUCCUUUCCACCGUCUUCCAAACUUAAGAAUAACACUUGUUUGAAAGUAAAGAACGAAAAGAGAAUGCUGGCAAAUGGUUUUUUUUAUAUACAGUUCACUCAGUUCUAGAAAUCUCAUCUGCGUCUUGCUAAGAGUUCACUUUUGGAGCCUCUUGAGAAACACAAUUAUUUUGUUUUUCAGUAAUUCAGCCUUUCUUGCCCCUUUGUUAACAUGAGAAAAGCAAGUCUAUUCUUGCACAGAAACAACUUUAUGAACAUAGUAUUACGUUUUACAUUGUAUGAAAGAUUCUGGCAGGUGCUUUAAAUUUGAAAAGCAACAAUUUUAUUAUUUAUUUGUAAUUCCUUAAUAAUCCUUAGAAAUCCUUAAGUAUGUUGAAUUUGGGGAUAUAAGUGAAGCCCACCUUCACAUAUUGUAGUACCUUUGGGAGGACAGCCAUGUUACUGCAGUUGAAGCUGUCCGAGGAGGAAGUGGAGCAUUACUUCAUGAAAGGUCUGCCAAGAGGUCACUUGCAUCAUUAUAAAGGAAGUAACUUUCAUGAACUGAUCGGAUGUUUGCAACCAGCAUAAAACAAAGCAUCACUGAGAACACUGAGAUUUUCGUCCAAGCGCUUGGAACUUUGUCCAUGUCAGCCUGGGGCCGAAUCAAGCCUCUGAAAUUCAGAAAUACUGACAUAACCUCGAUUUGGAGUGCUGAGUUUAGGAGUGACGUGGCAAAGAACAUAACCUCUAAAUGCUCUGUAAGCUGAAGUCUAAAUGCUUUGUACUGAAAUGAAUAAAUUGCUUCUUGAAAGCAAUGUGUUACUCACUGAGAAAGAUAUACCUACUGAAUGAAACAGCACCAGUGCAGCUGAGCAGGUGAAAUAUCAUCAGCCUCUGUGAUACAUUGCUUUCUCAACUCUAUUUAUCUUCUGUUUGCUCUCCUGUAUUAUUUCUUGGAUGGGAUUCAUCACCCGCUGAAAUACGUGUAUUAAAUAAGCCAUGCUUCCGCAUAAAACUGAAGAUCCUACUGACUAAAUUCCCUGGUAUAUCAUUACAGCUAUACUGAGUAUGUAGUACGUGCCAAUGGAUAAAUUAAACUGAUUACUGAAGAGUGAAUAUUUUGGUAAAUGUGAAACUGUAUUCGGUAAAUAAUAACCUAGCAGGUGACUCAUGGAAGGUAAAUAAAAAUGAACUAUUAUAUGAACUGCACCAACUAUAGAAACACACUCAGUAGGGAACAAAAUAAGGUGCUUUUCAGACUUUUGUAUCUUUGCCAUUGCCAAAAUGCAUAAAUGCUGUUAGGCAGAUUUAUGACGCUUUGAAGAAUGUAGAUAAUACUUUCAAUCCUGAUACGCAUUAGCAGCUUCUUUCUCUGUAUUUUAUGAGCAUAGGAAAAAAUUCUUUAGGACUACUUGUGUUUACUGCAUCUGAAAGAAAUUAUGGCAGCAUAAAUCAUGCAGAUAUGAAAAGCAGUGGUGAGGAAAGUGAAGGUAUUUAUGCAAAGAAAGGGAUGUAAGUUUAAAGAUGAAGUUUUCAGUGUGAUUAUAAUGUUUAAUUAGUUGUCUAGGUUAAAAGUGCUUAUCAACAUCCUCUUUGGCACUCUACCACGUAUGAAGGAAGCUUGAGAGAUGAAAAGAUUGUGGGGGCUAUUUUGUUUCAAACAACUUUAUUUUUAUUUAUGUAUAUCUCCAUACAUAUAUCCCAAGUAAAUAUAUGUGGGGUUUUUUUGUUUGUUUUUUUGUUAAUCUCAGAAAUCUCAGGAACACUGAGAUUAAAGCUUCUCGAUGGUAUCAGGUUUGUAUCAGUUCUUGCAUCCUCCUUCAGAAAGCCUAAGAGAUUGUGCUACAGCAAAAACAUGCUUUCUCCUGGGAGUUUCUCCUGGUGAUACUAUUUUUUCUCUGCUGAUUGUAGACAAAGCGUAGAUGACAAGUGUAGUAUAGAUGCCUAACUUCAUGUGCCACUAUGGCACAUACACUGUGUAGAAACCUAAUUAACUUCAGAUUUAAUCCUACAGAGAUUGUGGUCACUGUUUUUCUAGAUCAUCUUGAAACCAACCCAACCUUUCCCCUGACCUGAUAGCAUAAACAGUGGGAAGACUUCAGCCCAAGAUAUUUUCACUAUAAAUUCAAAUUUAGAGGGAGGGAAUAUGUCUUAAUGAAUGAAACAUCAUAUCAUCAAAGCUGAUCUAUUUUCAAGUGAAAUAGCAGCAACAACUAUGAUUUACUUUAGGAAAAUGUCUUGAGAUCCUGAAAAAGGGCAGGGACACAUGGUACUUGUAUACAUAUGUUGUCCAUUCAUGUCAUAAAAGACUUCCAGCAAAAAGCCAUUAGGUAUAAUUCAACAGAAUUACUUGUUUUUAACAGUUCAUGCCAAAAUAUUAGACUGUUCAAGUAGCUACGUAAUCCAAAUGGGGAAACUUAGGGAAGC